AACGCAUAUUGCGCUCGAGGCUUCGGCUGAGAGCAUGUCUGCCUCAGCGUCGGGUUAAUACUCACACUCCCCAUCCCUAGUCGGGUGGAGAGGCGUGGAUCUGGCUGUCUCGCCCCGGUCGACCUUCGGGCCGACCGAGGCGGGUCUGCUGAAGUGCAGAGGCAAUGCAUGGACCCGCUAAGGGCUGCAACUGGGUAGGUGGCUUCGCCAUUCUCACGUUGUUGGCCUGGGAACGCGCUUGUUGCCCUCUAAACAGGAAAACUAUUAACCAUUUUCUCGACCUGAGCUCAGGCAAGAUUACCCGCUGAACUUAA
This 314-nucleotide unclassified non-coding RNA is filed under the name uncultured fungus. RNAcentral describes it as "partial contains 5.8S rRNA and ITS2". The record is from RNAcentral. Lineage: Eukaryota; Fungi.